Molecule: ribosomal RNA, 460 nt
Filed under: uncultured bacterium
Lineage: Bacteria
Description: partial 16S ribosomal RNA
Rfam family: Bacterial small subunit ribosomal RNA
Source: RNAcentral
CCUACGGGAGGCAGCAGUGAGGAAUAUUGGUCAAUGGGCGCGAGCCUGAACCAGCCAAGUAGCGUGAAGGAUGACUGCCCUCCGGGUUGUAAACUUCUUUUAUAAAGGAAUAAAGUGAGGCAUGUGUGCCUUUUUGUCUGUCCUUUAUGAUUAAGGCUCGGCUAACUCCGUGCCAGCAGCCGCGGUAAUACGGAGGAUCCGAGCGUUAUCCGGAUUUAUUGGGGUUAAAGGGCGCGUAGAUGGGUUGUUAAGUCAGUUGUGAAAGUUUGCGGCUCAACCGUAAAAUUGCAAUUGAUACUGGCAGUCUUGAGUACAGUUGAGGUAGGCGGAAUUCGUGGUGUAGCGGUGAAAUGCGUAGAUAUCACGAAGAACUCCGAUUGCGAAGGCAGCUUACUAAACUGCCACUGACAUUGAUGCUCGAAAGUGUGGGUAGCAAACAGGAUUAGAUACCCCUGUAGUC